RNAcentral lists this unclassified non-coding RNA (291 nucleotides) under rhizosphere metagenome. RNAcentral describes it as "partial ribosomal RNA internal transcribed spacer region". The record is from RNAcentral.
GUAGGUGAACCUGCGGAAGGAUCAUUAUUGAAAUAAAUCUGAUGAGUUGCUGCUGGUUCUCUAGGGAGCAUGUGCACACUUGUCAUCUUUAUAUCUCCACCUGUGCACCUUUUGUAGACCUGGAUAUCUCUCUGAAUGCUAGUCAUUCAGGUUUGAGGAUUGACUUUAUGUCUCUCCUUACAUUUCCAGGCCUAUGUUCUUCAUAUACCCCAAUGUAUGUUAUAGAAUGUAAUCAAUGGCCUUUGUGCCUAUAAACCUAUACAACUUUCAGCAACGGAUCUCUUGGCUCUC